GACGAACGCUGGCGGCGUGCUUAACACAUGCAAGUCGAACGGAAAGGCCCUGCUUGCAGGGUACUCGAGUGGCGAACGGGUGAGUAACACGUGGGUGAUCUGCCCUGCACUUCGGGAUAAGCUUGGGAAACUGGGUCUAAUACCGGAUAGGAGCCAUCUUUAGUGUGGUGGUUGGAAAGUUUUUUCGGUGUAGGAUGAGCUCGCGGCCUAUCAGCUUGUUGGUGGGGUAAUGGCCUACCAAGGCGGCGACGGGUAGCCGGCCUGAGAGGGUGUACGGCCACAUUGGGACUGAGAUACGGCCCAGACUCCUACGGGAGGCAGCAGUGGGGAAUAUUGCACAAUGGGCGCAAGCCUGAUGCAGCGACGCCGCGUGGGGGAUGAAGGCCUUCGGGUUGUAAACUCCUUUCGCUAGGGACGAAGCUUUGUGUGACGGUACCUAGAUAAGAAGCACCGGCUAACUACGUGCCAGCCGCCGCGGUAAU
RNAcentral lists this ribosomal RNA (482 nucleotides) under uncultured bacterium. RNAcentral describes it as "bacterial SSU rRNA". It matches the Rfam family "Bacterial small subunit ribosomal RNA", at positions 28 to 524 of the family's 1533-position model. The record is from RNAcentral.